RNAcentral lists this long non-coding RNA (1903 nucleotides) under Callithrix jacchus (white-tufted-ear marmoset). RNAcentral describes it as "lncRNA (ENSCJAG00000071142.1)". The record is from RNAcentral. Lineage: Eukaryota; Metazoa; Chordata; Mammalia; Primates; Cebidae.
CCACAGAUGGUUGAAGCUGGCCCUUUAUUUGAAGAAAUGACAAUAGAUGUUUGUGUGGAGGUUUAGUGUUUACGAAGCGAUCCACUAACACUAUCUCUUGGAAUCCUCACAACAGCAGUGGGGAGAAGGCCUUGCAGGCACAAUCCCUGUUACAGAUGUGGAAUCUGGGGCUCACAGUUUGGACAACUUGCUGGAGGUCAUCAGCUAGUCAGACAGAGCUGAGAUACAAGCGCAGGUCUCAGAACUCUACACCUGGGGUUUUCCUCUCUGCCUGGCACUUGGGGACAAGGUGAGGGGAUGGGCUACCCUAGCCACUGUUAUGGGUUGAAUUUUGUCCUCCUAAAAGAUGUGUUGAACUAUCUGGAUGUGACCUAUGGAUGUGGCCUAUUUGCAAAUUGAGUCUUUACAGAUGUAACCGUAUUAAGGUGAGAGCCCUAAGGUGGGCCUUAAUCCAAAAGACUGGUGUCCUCAUAAGAACAGGGAAAUUUGCUAGGCAUGGUGGCUCAUGCCUGUAAUCUUAGAAUUUUGGGAGGCCAAGACAGGAGGUUUGCUUGAGGCCAGGAGUUUGAGACCAGCCUAGCAACGUAGUGAGACUGCAUCUCUACAAUUAGAAAAAAAAUUUCUUAAUUACCAGGGUGUGGUGGCUGGCAUAUGCCUGAGAUUUCAGCUACUUAGGAGGCUGAGGCAGGAGGAUUGCUGGAGCCCAGGGGUUUGGGGCUGCAGUGAGCUAUGAUUGUGCCAUUAUACUUCAGCCUGGGCCACAGAGCGAGAACCUUACUCUAAAAGAAGAUGAACAAGAAGAAAGAAGGAGAAGGAAGAGGAGGAGGUGGAGGAGGAGGAGGUGGAGGAGGAGGAGGAGGAGGUGGAGGAGGACGAGGAGGAGGAGGAGGAGGAGGAGGAGGUGGAGGAGGGGGAAAAAAUUUGGACACAGGUGCACACAGGGAGGAGAAGGCCACGUGGAGACAGACACAGAGGGAAUGAGACCACGUGAGACGAAUCACGGUGAUGCUGCUUACAGCCAAGGAUCUCUGGGGCUGCCGGACGCAGGAGAAGCGGAGGAAGGACCCUCCGUUCAGGGCUUUGAAGGGAGCACGGCCAGCUCACACCCUGAGUUUAGACUUCCAGCCUCCAGAACGGCUGGAGGGCAGUUGCACGAUCUUGGCUCAUUGCAACCUCCACCUCCUGGGUUCAAGCCAUUCUCCUGCCUCAGCCUCCCGAGUAGCUGGGAUUACAAGGAUGUACCACCACUUCCGGCUACACAAGGAGACAGCGGCCACUCAGUUUCCAAACUGUUCACUGGAAUAAAGUCUCUUUCCUCCAAAUUCCUUGUCAGAUAACUUUUGUUCACACUUCAGAUUAUGUAGCUGCCCACAGGUGCCACAGCUGAGCUAUGGCCUUCAUUGCUGACUUUUUUUCCUGGGAACUGUCUUGCAUAAUUUCAAAACCAGAAUUGAAAUUAAUUCAUGGCAACAAUUUUUAUAUCUAAUUAAAUGUGUUUGCGUCAAUUAAUGUGAGAAACAACAAAUCGGUUUCGUUGCAAAGAGCUUGUGACCACGAGUUCAAAAGCCAGCUAAAAGCCCUACCUAAUAUUAUGAGCUUGAGCAAGUCAUCCCAUUUCCUGAAUGCUAGUUUCUUCAUCUGCAAACACGGGGUCCGAUUCAGAGGGUCUCAGAGCACCCCUCAGCUGUACACGCUUUGAUUUCUAGUGACAUCUAAGAAUGCAGCUGGUUGCUGUUUUUCCUUUUCCAAUAUUCCCUGGUCAGUACUUGGAUCACUGACUUUGAGUCCUUUACUGAAUAUCAGGCUCUAAUCCCAGGUCCCCUAGUCCCUUCCAUAGGUACAACCCUCCGACUUCCCUUUUCAGUUCAUACCUACAAGGAGGGUACGCUAAUGAGAGCUGGGC